UACGUAGGGUGCAAGCGUUGUCCGGAUUUACUGGGUUUAAAGGGUGCGUAGGCGGCUUAGUAAGUCGUAGAUGAAAUGGCGGGGCUCAACCUCGUCGCUGUUUACGAUACUGCUGAGCUAGAGCGGUCAUGAGGCAGCUGGAAUGAGUGGUGUAGCGGUGAAAUGCGUAGAGAUCACUCAGAACACCUAUUGCGAAGGCAGGUUGCUGGGGAGUCGCUGACGCUGAGGCACGAAAGCGUGGGGAGCAAACAGG
This 253-nucleotide ribosomal RNA is filed under the name uncultured bacterium. Its description in RNAcentral is "partial 16S ribosomal RNA". It matches the Rfam family "Bacterial small subunit ribosomal RNA", at positions 524 to 776 of the family's 1533-position model. The record is from RNAcentral.